UGGGGAAUACUGGACAAUGGGCGAAAGCCUGAUCCAGCAAUGCCGCGUGAGUGAUGAAGGCCUUAGGGUUGUAAAGCUCUUUUACCAGGGAUGAUAAUGACAGUACCUGGAGAAUAAGCUCCGGCUAACUCCGUGCCAGCAGCCGCGGUAAUACGGAGGGAGCUAGCGUUGUUCGGAAUUACUGGGCCUAAAGCGUACGUAGGCGGUGACUCAAGUCAGAGGUGAAAGCCUGGAGCUCAACUCCAGAACUGCCUUUGAAACUAGGUCGCUAGAAUCACGGAGAGGUGAGUGGAAUUCCGAGUGUAGAGGUGAAAUUCGUAGAUAUUCGGAAGAACACCAGUGGCGAAGGCGGCUCACUGGACGUGUAUUGACGCUGAGGUACGAAAGCGUGGGGAGCAAACAGGAUUAGAUACCCCAGUAGUCCCUGAGCGGGCUGGCAAGGCGCAU
Molecule: ribosomal RNA, 447 nt
Filed under: uncultured bacterium
Lineage: Bacteria
Description: bacterial SSU rRNA
Rfam family: Bacterial small subunit ribosomal RNA
Source: RNAcentral